GCAAAUCUGCUACGCUGCUCAGGGAUUAGUGGCGAACGGGUGAGUAACACGUGAGUAACCUGCCCUUGACUCUGGGAUAAGCGCUAGAAAUGGCGUCUAAUACCGGAUACGAGCUUCAGCCGCAUGGCUAGGAGUUGGAAAGAAUUUUGGUCAAGGAUGGACUCGCGGCCUAUCAGCUAGUUGGUGAGGUAAUGGCUCACCAAGGCGACGACGGGUAGCCGGCCUGAGAGGGUGACCGGCCACACUGGGACUGAGACACGGCCCAGACUCCUACGGGAGGCAGCAGUGGGGAAUAUUGCACAAUGGGCGAAAGCCUGAUGCAGCAACGCCGCGUGAGGGAUGACGGCCUUCGGGUUGUAAACCUCUUUUAGUAGGGAAGAAGCGAAAGUGACGGUACCUGCAGAAAAAGCACCGGCUAACUACGUGCCAGCAGCCGCGGUAAUACGUAGGGUGCAAGCGUUGUCCGGAAUUAUUGGGCGUAAAGAGCUCGUAGGCGGUUUGUCGCGUCUGCUGUGAAAUCUGGGGGCUCAACCCCCAGCCUGCAGUGGGUACGGGCAGACUAGAGUGCGGUAGGGGAGAUUGGAAUUCCUGGUGUAGCGGUGGAAUGCGCAGAUAUCAGGAGGAACACCGAUGGCGAAGGCAGAUCUCUGGGCCGUAACUGACGCUGAGGAGCGAAAGCAUGGGGAGCGAACAGGAUUAGAUACCCUGGUAGUCCAUGCCGUAAACGUUGGGAACUAGAUGUGGGGGCCAUUCCACGGUCUCCGUGUCGCAGCUAACGCAUUAAGUUCCCCGCCUGGGGAGUACGGCCGCAAGGCUAAAACUCAAAGGAAUUGACGGGGGCCCGCACAAGCGGCGGAGCAUGCGGAUUAAUUCGAUGCAACGCGAAGAACCUUACCAAGGCUUGACAUAUACCGGAAACGUCCAAAGAUGGUCGCCCCGCAAGGUCGGUAUACAGGUGGUGCAUGGUUGUCGUCAGCUCGUGUCCUGAAAUGUUGGGUUAAGUCCCGCAACGAGCGCAACCCUCGUUCUAUGUUGCCGCCCGUUAUGGUGGGAACUCAUAGGAGACUGCCCGGGUCAAUCCGAAGAAAGUUGGGAUAU
This 1098-nucleotide ribosomal RNA is filed under the name Frigoribacterium sp. RNAcentral's name for it is "bacterial SSU rRNA". It matches the Rfam family "Bacterial small subunit ribosomal RNA", at positions 57 to 1182 of the family's 1533-position model. The record is from RNAcentral. Lineage: Bacteria; Bacillati; Actinomycetota; Actinomycetes; Micrococcales; Microbacteriaceae.